AUUGAACGCUGGCGGCAGGCUUAACACAUGCAAGUCGAGCGGGGUGAUGGUGCUUGCACUAUCACUUAGCGGCGGACGGGUGAGUAAUGCUUAGGAAUCUGCCUAUUAGUGGGGGACAACAUCUCGAAAGGGAUGCUAAUACCGCAUACGUCCUACGGGAGAAAGCAGGGGAUCACUUGUGACCUUGCGCUAAUAGAUGAGCCUAAGUCGGAUUAGCUAGUUGGUGGGGUAAAGGCCUAACAAGGCGACGAUCUGUAGCGGGUCUGAGAGGAUGAUCCGCCACACAGGGACUGGGACACGGCCCAGACUCCUACGGGAGGCAGCAGUGGGGAAUAUUGGACAGUGGGGGGAACCCUGAUCCAGCCAUGCCGCGUGUGUGAAGAAGGCCUUAUGGUUGUAAAGCACUUUAAGCGAGGAGGAGACUCUUUUGGUUAAUACCCAAGAUGAGUGGACGUUACUCGCAGAAUAAGCACCGGCUAACUCUGUGCCAGCCGCCGCCGUAA
This 503-nucleotide ribosomal RNA is filed under the name uncultured bacterium. Its description in RNAcentral is "partial 16S ribosomal RNA". It matches the Rfam family "Bacterial small subunit ribosomal RNA", at positions 30 to 523 of the family's 1533-position model. The record is from RNAcentral.